ACUCCUGCGGGAGGCAGCAGUGGGGAAUUUUGGACAAUGGGCGAAAGCCUGAUCCAGCCAUGCCGCGUGCAGGAUGAAGGCCUUCGGGUUGUAAACUGCUUUUGUACGGAACGAAACGGCCUUUUCUAAUAAAGAGGGCUAAUGACGGUACCGUAAGAAUAAGCACCGGCUAACUACGUGCCAGCAGCCGCGGUAAUACGUAGGGUGCAAGCGUUAAUCGGAAUUACUGGGCGUAAAGCGUGCGCAGGCGGUUAUGUAAGACAGUUGUGAAAUCCCCGGGCUCAACCUGGGAACUGGAUCUGUGACUGCAUAGCUAGAGUACGGUAGAGGGGGAUGGAAUUCCGCGUGUAGCAGUGAAAUGCGUAGAUAUGCGGAGGAACACCGAUGGCGAAGGCAAUCCCCUGGACCUGUACUGACGCUCAUGCACGAAAGCGUGGGGAGCAAACAGGAUUAGAAACCCCGGUAGUCCCAUGAU
This 475-nucleotide ribosomal RNA is filed under the name uncultured organism. RNAcentral describes it as "partial 16S ribosomal RNA". It matches the Rfam family "Bacterial small subunit ribosomal RNA", at positions 335 to 801 of the family's 1533-position model. The record is from RNAcentral.